Molecule: ribosomal RNA, 470 nt
Filed under: uncultured bacterium
Lineage: Bacteria
Description: partial 16S ribosomal RNA
Rfam family: Bacterial small subunit ribosomal RNA
Source: RNAcentral
GACGAACGCUGGCGGCGUGCUUAACACAUGCAAGUCGAACGGUGAACGAGGUAGCUUGCUCCCUCCGGAUCAGUGGCGAACGGGUGAGUAACACGUGAGCAAUCUGCCCCGAACUCUUGGAUAAGCGUUGGAAACGACAUCUAAUACCGGAUACGCCUCGGGAGGGCAUCCUCUCCGCGUGUAACGAACUUCGGUUCGGGAUGAGCUCGCGGCCUAUCAGCUUGUUGGUGAGGUAACGGCUCACCAAGGCGACGACGGGUAGCCGGCCUGAGAGGGUGACCGGCAAAACGGGAACGGAGACACGGCCAAGACUCCAACGGGAGGAAGAGGGGGGGAAUAUGGCACAAGGGGCGAAAGCCUGAGGAAGAAACGCCGCGGGAGGGACGACGGCCUUGGGGUGGUAAACGUCUUUUAGCAGGGAAGAAGCGAAAGUGACGGUACCUGCAGAAAAAGCACCGGCUAACUACGUG